Molecule: ribosomal RNA, 506 nt
Filed under: uncultured bacterium
Lineage: Bacteria
Description: partial 16S ribosomal RNA
Rfam family: Bacterial small subunit ribosomal RNA
Source: RNAcentral
AACGAACGCUAGCUACAGGCUUAACACAUGCAAGUCGAGGGGUAACAAGAGAAAAGCUUGCUUUUCUUGUUGACGACCGGCGCACGGGUGAGUAACGCGUAUCCAACCUGCCUAUAACUAGGGAAUAACCUUGCGAAAGUAAGACUAAUACCCUAUGAUUUCCUUUGAUGACAUCAGAUUAGGAAUAAAGAUUUAUCGGUUAUAGAUGGGGAUGCGUCUGAUUAGCUUGUUGGCGGGGUAACGGCCCACCAAGGCAACGAUCAGUAGGGGUUCUGAGAGGAAGGUCCCCCACAUUGGAACUGAGACACGGUCCAAACUCCUACGGGAGGCAGCAGUGAGGAAUAUUGGUCAAUGGGCGGAAGCCUGAACCAGCCAAGUAGCGUGCAGGAUGACGGCCCUAUGGGUUGUAAACUGCUUUUAUACAGGAAUAAAGUUAGCCACGUGUGGUUAUUUGUAGGUACUGUAUGAAUAAGGACCGGCUAAUUCCGUGCCAGCAGCCGCAGUAA